RNAcentral lists this ribosomal RNA (968 nucleotides) under Acinetobacter baumannii. RNAcentral describes it as "bacterial SSU rRNA". It matches the Rfam family "Bacterial small subunit ribosomal RNA", at positions 53 to 1021 of the family's 1533-position model. Lineage: Bacteria; Pseudomonadati; Pseudomonadota; Gammaproteobacteria; Moraxellales; Moraxellaceae. The record is from RNAcentral.
ACUGCAGUCGAGCGGGGGAAGGUAGCUUGCUACCGGACCUAGCGGCGGACGGGUGNNUANNGCUUAGGAAUCUGCCUAUUAGUGGGGGACAACAUCUCGAAAGGGAUGCUAAUACCGCAUACGUCCUACGGGAGAAAGCAGGGGAUCUUCGGACCUUGCGCUAAUAGAUGAGCCUAAGUCGGAUUAGCUAGUUGGUGGGGUAAAGGCCUACCAAGGCGACGAUCUGUAGCGGGUCUGAGAGGAUGAUCCGCCACACUGGGACUGAGACACGGCCCAGACUCCUACGGGAGGCAGCAGUGGGGAAUAUUGGACAAUGGGCGCAAGCCUGAUCCAGCCAUGCCGCGUGUGUGAAGAAGGCCUUAUGGUUGUAAAGCACUUUAAGCGAGGAGGAGGCUACUUUAGAUAAUACCUAGAGAUAGUGGACGUUACUCGCAGAAUAAGCACCGGCUAACUCUGUGCCAGCAGCCGCGGUAAUACAGAGGGUGCAAGCGUUAAUCGGAUUUACUGGGCGUAAAGCGCGCGUAGGCGGCUAAUUAAGUCAAAUGUGAAAUCCCCGAGCUUAACUUGGGAAUUGCAUUCGAUACUGGUUAGCUAGAGUGUGGGAGAGGAUGGUAGAAUUCCAGGUGUAGCGGUGAAAUGCGUAGAGAUCUGGAGGAAUACCGAUGGCGAANGNAGCCAUCUGGCCUAACACUGACGCUGAGGUGCGAAAGCAUGGGGAGCAAACAGGAUUAGAUACCCUGGUAGUCCAUGCCGUAAACGAUGUCUACUAGCCGUUGGGGCCUUUGAGGCUUUAGUGGGCGCAGCUAACGCGAUANUAGACCGCCUGGGGAGUACGGUCGCAAGACUAAAACUCAAAUGAAUUGACGGGGGGCCCGCACNAAGCGGUGGAGCAUGUGGUUUAAUUCAUGCAACGCGAAACCUUACCUGGCCUUGACAUAGUAAGACUUUCCAGAUGGAUUGUGCCUUCG